This 131-nucleotide small nucleolar RNA is filed under the name Echinops telfairi (small Madagascar hedgehog). RNAcentral's name for it is "Small nucleolar RNA SNORA64/SNORA10 family (ENSETEG00000023409.1)". It matches the Rfam family "Small nucleolar RNA SNORA64/SNORA10 family". Rfam says of the family: This family belongs to the H/ACA class of small nucleolar RNAs (snoRNAs) which act as guides in the the modification of uridines to pseudouridines. The record is from RNAcentral. Lineage: Eukaryota; Metazoa; Chordata; Mammalia; Afrosoricida; Tenrecidae.
GCUCUCCCUGUUCUGCAUGGUUACACCUGCCAUAACAGGUGUGACUUUCAUAAAGAGGAGAGAGAGAAAGGGUGCCCUCAGGACCUCGGGCAGGCCUCCGUGGCCUGUCUCUUCCAGGGGGCACAACAGGC